CAGGUCUUGACAUCCCUUUGAUCGGUCUAGAGAUAGACCUUUCCUUCGGGACAGAGGAGACAGGUGGUGCAUGGUUGUCGUCAGCUCGUGUCGUGAGAUGUUGGGUUAAGUCCCGCAACGAGCGCAACCCUUAUGCUUAGUUGCCAGCAGGUCAAGCUGGGCACUCUAAGCAGACUGCCGGUGACAAACCGGAGGAAGGUGGGGAUGACGUCAAAUCAUCAUGCCCCUUAUGACCUGGGCUACACACGUACUACAAUGGCCGGUACAACGGGAAGCGAAGGAGCGAUCUGGAGCCAAUCCUAGAAAAGCCGGUCUCAGUUCGGAUUGUAGGCUGCAACUCGCCUACA
RNAcentral lists this ribosomal RNA (347 nucleotides) under Paenibacillus polymyxa. RNAcentral's name for it is "bacterial SSU rRNA". It matches the Rfam family "Bacterial small subunit ribosomal RNA", at positions 975 to 1320 of the family's 1533-position model. Lineage: Bacteria; Bacillati; Bacillota; Bacilli; Caryophanales; Paenibacillaceae. The record is from RNAcentral. RNAcentral also lists the same sequence under 1 other name.